GAUGAACGCUGGCGGCGUGCCUAAUACAUGCAAGUCGAGCGAACGGACGAGAAGCUUGCUUCUCUGAUGUUAGCGGCGGACGGGUGAGUAACACGUGGAUAACCUACCUAUAAGACGGGGAUAACUUCGGGAAACCGGAGCUAAUACCGGAGAAUAUUUUGAACCGCAUGGUUCAAAAGUGAAAGACGGUGUUGCUGUCACUUAUAGAUGGAUCUGGGCUGCAUUAGCUAGUUGGUAAGGUAAAGGCUUACCAAGGCAACGAUGCAUAGCCGAGCUGCGAGGGUGAUCGGCCACCCGGGAACGGAGACACGGUCCAGACUCCUAAGGGAGGCAGCAGUAGGGAAUCUUCCGCAAUGGGCGAAAGCCUGGCGGAGCAACGGCGCGUGAGUGAUGAAGGUCUUCGGAUCGUAAAACUCUGUUAUUAGGGAAGAACAGAUGUGUAAGGAACUGUGCACAUCUUGACGGUACCUAAUCAGAAAGCCACGGCUAACUACGUG
This 497-nucleotide ribosomal RNA is filed under the name uncultured bacterium. Its description in RNAcentral is "partial 16S ribosomal RNA". It matches the Rfam family "Bacterial small subunit ribosomal RNA", at positions 28 to 507 of the family's 1533-position model. The record is from RNAcentral.